UGUUGAGAAGCCUGUUAAUUCAAAUCGAGAGUAUGGCACUAUAUAUCUUGGAAAAGAUAGUUUGGCUGAGAAUGUGAUUGAAUCUUUGGUUUCGGAAGGUCUAGUUGAUGUGCGACGUGGAGCAAUAAAAUCAAAUGAUUUUGACAUUUGAGAAAUUUCUACAAGUUCUACAUGUUUAGCCAUUUCCCCACCUUUGCCACUGCUAUAAACAAUCUUGUUGCAUGAAGUGUAAACAAACCAUAAAGCGAGGAUGAAGAUGUGCAUGGAAAAUGCUUCUUUGAUAAUAAACUUGUUUCUUCAAUCAAGACGUAUUAGAAAUAUUGUGUAUUUUUGUUAAGAUCACUUGUGUAAAUAUAUAAGAAAAAAAUGCAGUUAAAUUUGCUGAGUUUUUAGAAAAUACACAUUUUGUAUGUUUGCAUCAAAAAAUGAGUGUGAAUUAUAGGUGUUAGUGGAUUUAAGUGGUCAUGAAUUAUUGCAAUUCUAUUGUAAUUCAAUUGCUUUUAGUAAAUUAAAAUUAAUGAAGCUAAUAAAAUAUUUUAUACUUGAAGGAUUAUAUACUGGAUUUCAGCUAUCAUGUUUUAUUCAUUUUAAAUGAUGCUUCUUAUUUCAUUUAAAGAUAAAGCAUGAUAAAUGCUAGAGUUGUAUAGUAAGCAAAUUUCUGUUUAAAUUAGCACAUCAUAUUUAUAAGUUAUAUAAAUGUUUGUUUCUAUUUCAUAUCGUGGUUCUUAUUUAGUCUUAGUUUUAAUUAAUGACAAAUUUUCUGCUGUAUAAAAUAUUUUUAUCAAUUUUGCUUUGCACUUCAUAAAUCAGAUUCGAAAUACAUACUUGGAUUACAGCCUUAAGAAUUUAAAUAUAUAUGGCAAUAAUCAUGUGAAAAAUUGUUCAAAAUUUUUUAAUAGAAAUGAAACACCUAAUUGAUCUUUUGUAUUCUGUUUGUAAUUUUCAUGUAUUUUGUAAUAACAUCUUCACUAGUUUUGUUUAUUUCAUUUUUGCAAGUUUUUCAGGUUCUUGGUUUGUUGCAUUAUAUGCCAUAUAAAAUGUAAUUUUUGGGUUAUUUGGUACUUUCUGCAGCUCUUUUUCUAAAAGUCACUGGCCUACUAACGUCCGGAGAGUAAAAUCAUUGAACAGUGUUAGUUCAACCUGGGUUCAAUUCCAAGUGAAUGAACUGGCUGCAUGGGUAUUUUCAUGGUUUUUCACUAUAUGUGAUAUGGGUACAAGCCAGUUUCACAUAGGAAGUCCUCCACGAAGGCAUCCAUCCUCUUAGGCAGAUAGCGCUCACAUGCGUUACUGUUAUCAAAUAAGCAAAACCAAACCAACCUGAAAAAGUCUCCGACUAGUUAGUGACUAUUAAUUUAGAAGUCAGACAACAGAAGUCAGCAUUACAUUUGCAAAUUUUCACAGGUUUAGUUUCGAUGGUUUUCUUUUUCCAUUCUCACCUGCCAAAGUGCAGAUAAGUGCAUUUGCGCAUUGUUCAGUAAAACCAUAAAAACUAGUCCUGUGAAAAUUUGCAAAUGUAAUGCUGAUUUUUGUUGUUUGACUUUUAAAUAAAUAUUUAUUUGGCAUGUUUUUUUAAAUUUUACCUUAAUUAGUUGGUGACUACAUUUUUUAAAGCUAAUAAUAUGCAAAAGGGAACAAAAAUGGCUGUUCACUAGAAAUUCCAUAAGAGAGUAAUCAAUCAAUAAAAUUAAAAAAGCCAGAGACGUCCAUAAUAAAACACUUAUCUUUUUCAAGAAAUCCUUAUGCAGUGUAUUUUCUUGCUAUUCUUCCCAUGUACACAGUGAUCUGUUUUCAUUAAAAAAAUUAAGAGAAUUGUGAAAAUUUGUCAUCGUACAUGCGUUUGUUUUCUCCAUUAGCACAGCAGUCUGUUUUUGAUUAAAAAAAGAUCAGGGAAUUCCACAAAUUUAACUUUUUGCAUUCUUUGUUUUUCACAUUACAUUUUCAUAAAAUUCAAGCGUUUAAGAAGUAUAACUUUGUGGAAUGGGAAUUUUUGCACUCUCUGUUGUUGAACAAAAAGCUUUACGUAUGAAGAAAUCCAGUUCUUUAUCAUCUGUUGGCAAAAUCCACAGUCCGAUUAUGGCUCGUCAUGGGGGGGGGGAUGUACUCAAUCCAAACACACAAAUCGGAAAAAUUACCAUCAAAUUUGGAGGGCUGUGGGCUCACGCAGAAAUACAUUUUAGCAAUGUUGUGGGUUGCCACAUAACAAAUUUGGUGACAGUGCAUUGCUUUAUCUAUACAUUUUGAUGGGGAGAAGUUGCAAAUAAGAAGAAAGAAAAGGUUAUUUUUAUGACCUACUGAUACAAAUUAAAAGCAAAUUAUGUAUUUAUACAUAUGUAUAUACUAAUAAUUUGUAAAGAACAAGGAGAAAAACUUUAAAAUUGAUGAAUUAUUAAAAAUUUAUGAUUUAUUUAAAAAGGACUUAAAAAAUAAAAUCCUGCAUCAUUGCUGCAAAGAUAAAAUUUUAUUAAUAGAGAAUAUAUGAAUGAAAAUUAUCUCCUAUGAAAUGCAAAGUGAAAUUUAGAUAGUAAAUGUGUACUAUUAUGGAAAUUAAAAAAUUUGAAUUUGUAAGUAAACAGGAAUUUUUAAUUAAAAUGAAAAACUAAAUAAAACAAGAGAAUUGUUCCUUAGAAAGAUCCUGACUUAUCAAGGGGAAUUGGAAUCUUCAUACAACCUCCAGCAGUUCAUGAGGAGGGCAUUUUGUCAUUUUGUAUUUCUGAGCAAAUCCCAAUUGCAAUUUAAAAAUUUCCUAUUCAGUUUUGUAAAAUCCAAAUUUGAAUUUUAAAGAAGUUCAAAAAUGUGGAAUAAUUCCUCGAUGCCCAGAUAGACAAUUAAUUGCUGUUAAUUAAAAAAUAUAGUAUUCAUGCAGAAUUAUACUUAAGCUAAAAAAAUAAGAAUAAAUAAAAAAAUAUAUGAAAAAAUGAAAUAGAGAUGCAAAUGAAAUGAAAUAAGCAAAUAAGAGUCAAACAGAGAAUUUUACUUAUUAAUAGGCCAGAAUUAUUAAGAAUUAAGAAUUUUUUUUUUUUUUUUUAUAUCUAAUCCUAUCCAAAGGAUUUGAAAAUGGUGCUGUCACAGCAAUAAGCUUUAGAUGCUAAGGAUUGCCAUGAGUAAAGUUUGGGAGAGUCCAUUUUAAUGUUACAACUGCUUCUGUAUUGGCAUGAAAUUGAAACAGGAAGGGGGUUCUUUAUGUUGGGUUUGUCAAGUAUUAGGUAUCUCUGUUGAAUAGCAUUUUGUGCCAAAUGCACCAAACCUAAUGCAUCUGUUUGGCUGUCAGACUAUAAACAAAGCCCACUUUGUUUAUUAAGCCCACUUUGACAUAUUUACAGCCCCUUAAUAGAGUUCUGGUGUAACUCUUUUGUAUUGAAAAUACCUAAAAUAGUCAAGCGAAUGAGGGCAUGGACAUCACACUCUUAUAUAAUAUGGCAUACUAUUUCCUCAUUCUCUUUUUGAUUUUAUCUAGAUAGGCAGUCAUACUUUCAAUAGCAUUUUGCCCUUCUCCAGUUGUUGAGUAACUUGAGUAGAUGUCAUUUCUACUUCACUGGGUAAAAGAUUUAUUUCUGCUCCUUCAAUUGAUUUCCUCUGGGUGUCUGUGUUUUGAGAAGAAAGGUCUCCUCAGAGGUUUGGCUUGCAAAAUCAGAAUUAUUAUAUUGCCAAAAAGUAGUCCACCCAGUAUUUCCUGUUGCUUGAUAAGGCAAAGUACACUAGAAGUUGCCGGGCAUUCUAGAGGCUGCAUUAAGACACUAUAACUGCAGUGUCAUUCAUCCUAGGCAUGGUUCACCUAACACCAGGGUUAUGGGAGGGUGUUUGUGGCUUCUUAUUUAUUAUUCACAGCUAUCCUGUCAGAUAAUACAAGGCAUCUUGCUAUCCAUCACCUGCCGAAGCACCUGGUAGCCACUUGAGCCCCAGGCAAGAAGGCGGUUUCCAUUGGCACGAAUUUUCUUCCUGUGUGCAACUGAGCUAAUUAAGAAAAAAAGCUGUAUGGUAAGAAUUGUGAACAUUAGAAAUGCAGAGUAAAAUCGAAAAUUUUGAAAUCAAUUGUGGAGAAAAAUUUUUACAUCUAAAAAGGGUGGAGGCCAGAAUACUUGCAGAACAUUUUUUAUGCAGUUAAUUACAAAAAUAUACAAAACAUCAGAGCAAACAGGGCAUCUUUUCUUACCCUCCUGUUUGGUUUCAGAGAAGCUUAUUAUUAUAUAUUAGGUUAAGUAUUAAAUUUGGUAUUCAAUGAAAGCUUUCUAAGAAAAUAAUUAAUAAAUUCUGUGAAUGUGCUGUUUUCUUUAAGUACUUGUGCAACUAAAAUGAUCUCAUUUUUUAAGUCGAAAACUUUUGUUAAGAUUUUUUUAAAUCUAUUGAUUUGAUUGAGUAUUGUGUUUCUGAUGACUCCUAGAGAUAUGGAAUUUCCAUUUGAUAAGUUUAAUUGUAAAAGAGUUAAAAGUUCUUUUAGCAAACUGUUUGAUUGUUUUAUAAUUAACUAUAUGAAGAUCAAAAUAUUCUAUUUCUUGUCCAAUUUUAUUGGGUUUAAAUCAAGAAGCAUAAAUUUGGAAUUUUUCUAUGACAUCAUAAUUAUUAAAAGUUAAUUGCAUCAUCAGUAUACAUGCAGACGUAUGCCUCUAGUUUUAAACUUGGUUGGUCAAGAGAUUGUUGAAAUUAAAAUUCUUUUGUAAGCAAGCAUAAGUCAGACAAAUUAUCAAAUUAAAUUAUAAAGCUGAUUCACAGAUUUUUAUCUUACACUUACACUCACACUUACACACACUCACAC
RNAcentral lists this long non-coding RNA (4750 nucleotides) under Stegodyphus dumicola. RNAcentral describes it as "uncharacterized LOC118185028". Lineage: Eukaryota; Metazoa; Arthropoda; Arachnida; Araneae; Eresidae. The record is from RNAcentral.